UCACUACGCCACGACUUCUACGAAGUCGGCUUGUUGUUUAAAACUGAACUCCGAUAGUUUAGUUCAGAGAAAGUGACAGGGGGCAACAGAAACAAGUGAAAGUUCUAGACGAACGCCGAACGGUGACUUUCAUAAGCAGGGAAAAAAUCGCCGGAUCCCCCUCCGCGCAGCGGGUGGUAUAUGUGAGAGUUGAACUUCACUAAAAACUCCUGCUGCUCACAGCCGGCGUCCUACCCCGGACCGGGCCGGAGCCCAGUCGGAGUUAUUGAGACGGCGGGACAGGGUUUACGCAGAGCAUAUUACAUCCGUCCCGCCGUCCCCCAGACGCCGGACCGGCGGGAUGGGACCCCGGUCCCGACCCCCUGCCCGGCGGCGGCGGAUUUCUGCGUAGUGAGGAGAGCUUUGCCUCACCCGCCCCGCCGCCUCCUUCUGCGAGAUGGUGCACUCGAAGAAGUCGAGAUUGUGAAAUAGUAAUGUAUUUUCGAUGGAAAAGGUAGCUGUAUCUAUUUUUUCGUAGAUCUACCUCUUCCUCUAAAGCCUCCCACAUUCCCACAUAGUUGAAACUCUCUUAACAGCCUCAUGCGUGUGGUGGGCGCCUAAGAAUACUCUCAACUGAAACUUAGAUCAUGGGUGUCGUAGAAGAUGACUAAGAGCGAAAGCCAAUACAACCCAGGCCCAAGGUCAACGAAAGCGUUCCCAAGGAGAGUUGCCGUCAGGCAGGCGACCUAUCAUAAAAGUGUUGCCAAAACUUAGACCAUCAUGAGGAUAUUGGCAAUAUGUAAGCAACUCCAGUAACUACCUAAAACCAGAUUUGUCAAACAUUUAAAAAAAACUCUGAUAUUGACAGUAUCAUUCAUAUUUUUCAUACGUCAAAUCACAAAUUGGAAGAUGGAUGUGUCAUUAUUUCUUUUGUAUUAUCAUCCAAAGACGAUUCUGACAGACAAGUAACUAUGUAGUAUACACAGCCUAUUCACAACUACUCCCAUUUUAAAUUGAACAGUUACGACUUCACUUAAAUUACUUGCGAGUCUGUGUAAGUCAGACUUGAACUUGAAAUAAUAAAAAAAAUGUAAAUGCUUUAUGAUAAGAUAUCUUGAAGUGACAUUUUUAUUUGUAAAUGUUUAUAAUGACAUUCAAAAUGCAUUACAUAGGUACUCUGAGAGGUACUUAAAGAUGUAGAUUAGAAUGUUUUUAGACAUAUGCUCAGUGUAAAUGUAAGGCACUAUUGAUAAUUCAAUGAUAUUGGUACCACCGAGAGCUGCUGUCCAUCAUAAAAUAGUACUGAGGCCUAGAUAUUUCUCUUAGUGCUUUGGUAAUACUAUACAAGGGUGGUCAAUCAGGUGGUUCAAUCUAAUUACAAUAAUUUGUGGCUAAAAUAGGACAAAAUCAAUGCCGAAAAAGAAAUUUUGUACAUGAGACUUGUAGAGUACCCUUCGUUAUGAAAUUUCUAGAACAAUUAAUUAAGCAACAAUUCUAAUAUUGUCUGCUAUUAAUAAGAGAAUCCUGAGAUAGUAAAUUUUUAAUAAUUAAUACAGAUAUUUACAUUUCUUUAAAUUCAAAAUCAAGGAGAAGAAACAAAUCUUUCUAUUUAUAAUAAAGAUUGGAUUACUCCAAAGCCCUAGUGGACAGAACAGCUUUAAGACCAUUAUGUGAAGAAAAUCACCCUUCACCAUUCCUAUAUGUUCUAGAAGGGAAGAAAUACAAACUAUAAAACAUUUAAGUAAUUUAACCAAUAUUAGAGUGCAUUGUUAAAUAGACAAGAUUUUAUGUAAUAAUUGGCUCAGAUUAGUUACAAUCAAUCAAUAUAUUUGAAAAUCAUGUUAUUCUAUAAUAUUAUUUUACAGAGUUAAAAAACCUACUCUACUAAACUAAAAAACUAAUCUACUACUAAGGUACUCUCAUAUUUUAGACACUAUUACAUAUAUUUCUACUAUGUAUUCCACAGUUAGAAACAUAGGAACCUCCUGUAGUGAAGAGUACCAAAUCAAAUACAAUACCUUAAAAAUUAAGAUAAAACUUAGACACAGAUAAUUUUACAAAUUAAACCUUAGUCUCUCCAAUGUUCUAAGUCUAAAAAGUUCAGUAUUUAGACAAUGAGAAAUUAUCAAAUGAAUAAAUGUGAAAUUUUGAUAUUUUAAAUUGUAUAAAAACAAAAGCUUAUCAAUUUCCAAGUUAGCAUAGAAACA
Long non-coding RNA from Bombyx mori (domestic silkworm), 2186 nucleotides. RefSeq lists it as uncharacterized. The transcript has 2 exons. Lineage: Eukaryota; Metazoa; Arthropoda; Insecta; Lepidoptera; Bombycidae. The record is from RefSeq and is a predicted model, not a curated record.